UCAAACUUGGCAAUGUUUCUAGGUGGC
RNAcentral lists this non-coding RNA (27 nucleotides) under Rattus norvegicus (Norway rat). Lineage: Eukaryota; Metazoa; Chordata; Mammalia; Rodentia; Muridae. The record is from RNAcentral.